AAUCGAACCCGGAGAUAGCUGGUUCUCCUCGAAAUAGCUUUAGGGCUAGCCUCAUGGAUCAUUGGUGGGGGUAGAGCACUGAAUGUGCGCGGGGGCCACAAAGCCUACCAAACGCUAUCAAACUUCGAAUACCAUACAAUGCAGACCAUGGGAGUCAGUCCGCGAGAGAUAAGUUCCGCGGGCAAAAGGGGAACACCCCAGAUCAACCGCUAAGGUCCCCAAGUUCACGUUAAGUGGAGAAGGAUGUGGAAUUGCACAGACAACCAGGAUGUUGGCUCAGAAGCAGCCACACAUUUAAAGAGUGCGUAAUAGCUCACUGGUCGAGUGAUUGUGCGCCGAAGAUGUCCGGGGCUAAACGUGACACCGAAGCGAUGGGUGCAUCUGAAUAGGAUGCGCGGUAGAGGAGCAAUGUGCAGAGGCAGAAGCCGUAUCGAGAGGCACGGUGGACACUGCACAAGAGAGAAUGCCGGUAUGAGUAGCGAGAGGCAUGCGAGAAACAUGCCCGUCGAAAGCCCAAGGUUUCCUGGGGAAGGUUCAUCCGCCCAGGGUAAGUCGGGGCCUAAGCCGAGGACGGAAGUCGUAGGCGAUGGACAGCAGGUGUAGAUUCCUGCACUACCGAUGGAAUGAAGCAGUGACACAGAAGGAUAACUCGAGCAGGGUGAUGGUCAACCCUGUGCAAGCAUCAAGGUUGGGUUGUAGUGAAGUACGCAAUCCUAUAAGCUGAGGUGUGAUGCGGACCGAAAUUUCAGUAGGGAAGCGAGUGAGUUCACGCUGGCGAGAAAAGCUGCUGGUACAUCCAAAGGUACCCGUACCGGAAACCGACGCAGGUGGGCGAGGAGAGAAUCCUGAGACGAACGGGAGAACCCUUGUUAAGGAACUCGGCAAAAUGACCCCGUAACUUCGGGAGAAGGGGUGCCUCGAAAGAGGCCGCAGAGAAUAGUCACAAGCGACUGUUUAGCAAAAACACAGGUAUCUGCGAAAGCGAGAGCUGACGUAUAGGUGCUGACACCUGCCCGGUGCUGGAAGGUUAAGGGAACAUGUUAGAGCAAUCGAAGCAUCGAACCGAAGCCCCAGUAAACGGCGGCCGUAACUAUAACGGUCCUAAGGUAGCGAAAUUCCUUGUCGGGUAAGUUCCGACCCGCACGAAUGGCGUAACGACUUGAGCGCUGUCUCAACAGGGGGCCCGGUGAAAUUGAAGUAUGUGUGAAGAUGCACAUUACCCGCGACUGGACGGAAAGACCCCGUAGAGCUUUACUGUAACCUGACAUUGGAUCUUGAUAACGGAUGCACAGGAUAGGUGGGACGCUGGGAGACGAGGACUUUGGUUUUCGUGGAGCGGCCGUUGGGAUACCACUCUUCUGUUAUUGAGAUUCUAACCUCAAGCCGUGAGCCGGAUGAGAGACAGUGUCAGGCGGACAGUUUGACUGGGGCGGUCGCCUCCGAAAGAGUAACGGAGGCGCCCAAAGGUACCCUCAGAAUGGAUGGAAACCAUUCGAAGAGAGCAAAGUCAGAAGGGUGCUUGACUGCGAGACCAACAAGUCGAGCAGGUACGAAAGUAGGGCUUAGUGAUCCGGCGGUAUGAGAGUGGAAUUGCCGUCGCUCAACGGAUAAAAGCUACCUCGGGGAUAACAGGCUGAUCUCCCCCAAGAGUCCACAUCGACGGGGAGGUUUGGCACCUCGAUGUCGGCUCGUCGCAUCCUGGGGCUGGAGCAGGUCCCAAGGGUUUGGCUGUUCGCCAAUUAAAGCGGCACGCGAGCUGGGUUCAGAACGUCGUGAGACAGUUCGGUCCCUAUCCAUCGUGGGCGUAGGAGUCAUGAGAGGAGCUGUUCCUAGUACGAGAGGACCGGAAUGGACGCACCACUGGUGCAACUGUUGUCGUGCCAACGGCAUAGCAGGGAAGCGAAGUGCGGACGGGAUAAACGCUGAAGGCAUCUAAGCGUGAAGCCCACCUCAAGAAUAAGACUCCACAUAGACCCCUGGAGGACUACCAGGUAGAUAGGUCAUCGGUGGAAGCGCCGUAAGGUGU
RNAcentral lists this ribosomal RNA (2026 nucleotides) under human gut metagenome. RNAcentral's name for it is "bacterial LSU rRNA". It matches the Rfam family "Bacterial large subunit ribosomal RNA", at positions 831 to 2886 of the family's 2925-position model. The record is from RNAcentral.